AAAGAAACUAGAGGCUCUAAAGAGCCUGUGUCGCUCACCUUGGUCUAUGUGAAUAUUAAACAAUGGACACAGAUGGAUUCAUGACAAAAUUGUGUUUUGGUGAUGGUGAUGUGUUUGUAGAUCUUACUUUACUAAACAUUCUUGCUGCUUACAAUUAUCUCUAUCUAUAACAGUACUUUCUGUGGAAAAUGUUAUUGAAAAUCUUCAAAUUUUAAGAAAAUGUUAAAAAUUGACUAUGAAGGCAAUACUCCUUAGGGGUCAAUUGACUAUUUUGGUCAUAGUGACUUAUUUUUAGUUCUUACUUUGCUGUACAUUUUUGCUGUUUACAGUUUAUCUCUAUCUAUAA
RNAcentral lists this long non-coding RNA (346 nucleotides) under Mytilus galloprovincialis (Mediterranean mussel). The record is from RNAcentral. Lineage: Eukaryota; Metazoa; Mollusca; Bivalvia; Mytilida; Mytilidae.